Molecule: long non-coding RNA, 2699 nt
Filed under: Salvia miltiorrhiza (redroot sage)
Lineage: Eukaryota; Viridiplantae; Streptophyta; Magnoliopsida; Lamiales; Lamiaceae
Description: long non-coding RNA (SMIL_LNC005718)
Source: RNAcentral
UAAUUUCUCGUAUUUCGCAACGGUAACAUAAUCAACCCUUCUAUAUAAUUCCAUUGCCAUUCCACAUCUCUCCACACACGCACUGCACACACUAGCUACGUGUUUCAGGUUUCAGUCCCUUUCACAAUUAAAAUCAUCCUUCUUCAAUAAAUUGAUCGCCUAGUUAAAGAAAAUAAAGGUAAACAUAUAGCUUGAGAAAGAAAACUAAAACACCGCCAUGGCUGGUGAGCAGAGAGAUUGCCUUCUCUUUGUGGCGUUGUUUUGUUGUUUAGUACAUUUCUCGUAUUCUUACCAGUUCGUGGUCGGAGGUGGAGAUGGAUGGGUCGUCAAACCUUCCGAAGACUACAAUCAAUGGGCUUCGAGGAUGCGGUUUCAAGUCAAUGACACCCUUCGUGAGCCUCUCUCUCUCUUCUCUCUCUCUCUCUCUCUACAUGCUCUCAUCAUUCACAUAUAUCGUUGUUUUCUUUAUUGUAGUGUUCAAAUACAAGAGCGGAUCGGAUUCGGUGUUAGUGGUGGACAAAAACGACUACGACAGCUGCAGCGUCGCGAAUCCUUUGCUCAAACUCGACGACGGGAAUUCCAUCUUCAAGUUCAACCGCUCCGGCCCCUUCUACUUCAUCAGCGGCAACAAGGCUAACUGCGAUCAGGGCCAGAAGCUCAUCGUCGUCGUUUUAGCCAUCAGAACCCCACCGUCGCCGCAGGGAUCAUCGCCGCCAUCUCCGUCACCGGCAGGGAAAGGUGGAGCUCCUGGUCCUGGACCGGCUGGCUCGCCGUCCCAGCCUGGUGGAGCUCCCGCGCCGGCUAACUCGCCGUCAUCUCCGUCUCCGGCGUCAGGAGCGCCUGCGCCGGCGGGAUCUGGGUUGGGGCCGGCGCCGGCGGGAUCGGGGUUGGGGCCGGCUCCGGCGGAGUCGGGGUUGGGGCCGGCGGCCGGCGGGAUCGGGGUUGGAGCCGGCUCCUUCGGGUGUUUUACCUGGAUCGCCGUCAUCGUCGACGACGACGCCGGGAUCGCCUGGGUCUUCGACGCCCGGGAGUGGGACGCCGGCGGAUGCUAAUUCACCGCCGGCGCCGGGGGGGUCAUUGGCGGCGCCGUCAUGCAGCACCUCUGUUUCUUGAAGUCAGUGUUGACUGUGGUUUGGGUGUAUUUGUCUUGUCACCUUAAAUAUUUAGGUUCAUGAUUUGAUUAAGUUUUGGUAGGAAUAUUUUGGCAAAAUUUUUAUUAUUAUUAUACUACUAUUUGUCCGUGAUUCAGCCGAUUUUAUUUAUGAGAGAGUAAGGUUUGUAUACAUUCUCCCUUCUUCUUCUUUUUCUUUUUUUUUUUCUUUGUAAUUCUGGUUCCUUGUUUAAUUCAAAUAUAUUUGAUUAUGAUAUCUCGAAUAAUAUUCCGUCCAACUUUUUUAGGAUCAAUGUCUNCAACCCACUUGUCAGCGGGUUGGAUUAGCCCGACGGGCCUUUACCCAAAUUAAUAGCUUUAUUCCACAACUCAAUAUCUUUAUAUUUUCACUAAAUUUUAUAGACGAAAAAUGAUUUAAUAACUAAACGUAAGGCAUGAAAAUUUAAUGCAAAUACUUUUUUCAAUAUUGUAAAUGCAUUUUCUUAAUACGUGCGAAAGAGGGAUGCGUUUAUAUUUUUGUAUGGCAUGAAUAUAUGUAAAAUAUCUAUAUCAUUUUAUAUCAACGGUAUAGUCAAAGUCGCCUAAAAAAAAAAUCGGCCGAGAUAAGGUUAGCUCAAGCACUCUAACAAAGGAUUUUUUUUUUUCAAUCUUAUGAUUUUGAUUUUUUUUUAGUAAUAUUUUUGAAACUUGCCCCUAUUUUUUCAAAAGAAAGUGGAAAAUUUUGAGCUAGGCCUUUAUAUGUAGCAAUGCCCCCACUGCUUCAAAGUGUUAUAAAAUGGUCGUAGCUAGGUCGACCACCCUAAUUAAUAUUCACUCUCAAUCAGUUAUGAAUCCAUACCUUCCAAUCCAUGUUCCUAACCGUUGGGCUUACACGUAUUUUUUUCCAACCCAAAAUACGUUUCAAACUUUCAAUCAAUUAUAACACGUUGAUCAAUGUGUCAUCUUCUAGUGUAAUAUCAAAACGUAACAUAAAAAACAUUGAUUUUCUAAUUAUUUAAUUUUGACGAAAUAUAAUAUAGUAUUUCAGAAUAUGGAAUCCGGUACUAAAUAUGCGAAUCAGACAAGCACAACAGAGCACCUUAUUCCAUCCAAAAACAACAUAAAUACGUAAUUAAUUAGUAGAUAAAAGCAACGUUAUUAAUUUCUCGUAUUUCGCAACGGUAACAUAAAUCAACCCUUCUAUAUAAUUCCAUUGCCAUUCCACAUCUCUCCACACACGCACUGCACACACUAGCUACGUGUUUCAGGUUUCAGUCCCUUUCACAAUUAAAAUCAUCCUUCUUCAAUAAAUUGAUCGCCUAGUUAAAGAAAAUAAAGGUAAACAUAUAGCUUGAGAAAGAAAACUAAAACACCGCCAUGGCUGGUGAGCAGAGAGAUUGCCUUCUCUUUGUGGCGUUGUUUUGUUGUUUAGUACAUUUCUCGUAUUCUUACCAGUUCGUGGUCGGAGGUGGAGAUGGAUGGGUCGUCAAACCUUCCGAAGACUACAAUCAAUGGGCGUUCGAGGAUGCGGUUUCAAGUCAAUGACACCCUUCGUGAGCCUCUCUCUCUCUUCUCUCUCUCUCUCUCUCUCUACAUGCUCUCAUCAUUC